CAGUAGCCGCGGUAAUACGAAGGGGGCUAGCGUUGCUCGGAAUGACUGGGCGUAAAGGGCGCGUAGGCGGCGGCCAAAGUCAGGCGUGAAAUCCCUGGGCUCAACCUGGGGGCUGCGUUUGAUACUUGGUUGCUUGAGUGGGGAAGAGGGUCGUGGAAUUCCCAGUGUAGAGGUGAAAUUCGUAGAUAUUGGGAAGAACACCGGUGGCGAAGGCGGCGACCUGGUCCUUUACUGACGCUGAGGCGCGAAAGCGUGGGGAGCAAACAGGAUUAGAGACCCCGGUAGUCCCUGUCUCUUAUAC
RNAcentral lists this ribosomal RNA (301 nucleotides) under uncultured bacterium. Its description in RNAcentral is "partial 16S ribosomal RNA". It matches the Rfam family "Bacterial small subunit ribosomal RNA", at positions 509 to 807 of the family's 1533-position model. The record is from RNAcentral.